Pezoporus flaviventris is the source of this 190-nucleotide long non-coding RNA. RefSeq lists it as uncharacterized. The record is from RefSeq and is a predicted model, not a curated record. The transcript is spliced from 3 exons. NCBI's taxonomy places the organism in Eukaryota, Metazoa, Chordata, Aves, Psittaciformes, Psittacidae.
CUUGCUCUGCCUGAGGCAAGACAGACCUUUGUGUGCAUCAAGUCCCCUCCUGGACCCAGAAUCUGUAUGAGCUUCUCUGCUGUGAGUACACGGCAGCAAUUAAAGCAUUGCCACAUAGAAAUGCUGAGCACAGUUUGUAAAAUCAGCAGGAGCAAGGAGUGCUCAGCAAAUCUGAAAACAAUGCCACAGG